AUGCAGGUCGAACGGUAACAGGCAAAGCUUGCUUUGCGCUGACGAGUGGCGGACGGGUGCGUAACGCGUGGGAAUCUGCCUUAUAGUGGAGGAUAGCCCGGUGAAAACCGGAUUAAUACUGCAUAAGCCCUACGGGGGAAAGCUGGGGAUCUUCGGACCUGGCGCUAUUAGAUGAGCCCGCGUUAGAUUAGCUUGUUGGUGAGGUAAUGGCUCACCAAGGCAACGAUCUAUAGCUGGUCUGAGAGGACGAUCAGCCACACUGGGACUGAGACACAGCCCAGACUCCUACGGGAGGCAGCAGUGGGGAAUAUUGCACAAUGGGCGCAAGCCUGAUGCAGCAAUACCGCGUGUGUGAAGAAGGCCUGAGGGUUGUAAAGCACUUUCAAUUGUGAAGAAAAGUUGUUGGUUAAUAACCUUCAACCUUGACGUUAACAAUACAAGAAGCACCGGCUAACUCCGUGCCAGCAGCCGCGGUAAUACGGAGGGUGCAAGCGUUAAUCGGAAUUACUGGGCGUAAAGAGUACGUAGGCGGCUCGUUAAGUCAGAUGUGAAAGCCCAGGGCUCAACCUUGGAACUGCAUUUGAAACUGGCAAGCUAGAGUAUGGUAGAGGGGGGUAGAAUUUCUGGUGUAGCGGUGAAAUGCGUAGAUAUCAGAAGGAAUACCAGUGGCGAGGGCGGCCCCCUGGCCCAAUACUGACGCUGAGGUACGAAAGCGUGGGUAGCGAACGGGAUUAGAUACCCCGGUAGUUCACGCCGUAAACGAUGUCAACUAGCCGU
RNAcentral lists this ribosomal RNA (777 nucleotides) under uncultured bacterium. RNAcentral's name for it is "bacterial SSU rRNA". It matches the Rfam family "Bacterial small subunit ribosomal RNA", at positions 55 to 823 of the family's 1533-position model. The record is from RNAcentral.